RNAcentral lists this ribosomal RNA (605 nucleotides) under Colletotrichum boninense. RNAcentral's name for it is "eukaryotic LSU rRNA". The stretch from base 232 to 385 matches the Rfam family "5.8S ribosomal RNA". The record is from RNAcentral. Lineage: Eukaryota; Fungi; Ascomycota; Sordariomycetes; Glomerellales; Glomerellaceae.
UAGAGGAAGUAAAAGUCGUAACAAGGUCUCCGUUGGUGAACCAGCGGAGGGAUCAUUACUGAGUUUACGCUCUAUAACCCUUUGUGAACAUACCUAUAACUGUUGCUUCGGCGGGUAGGGUCUCCGCGACCCUCCCGGCCUCCCGCCUCCGGGCGGGUCGGCGCCCGCCGGAGGAUAAACCAAACUCUGAUUUAACGACGUUUCUUCUGAGUGGUACAAGCAAAUAAUCAAAACUUUUAACAACGGAUCUCUUGGUUCUGGCAUCGAUGAAGAACGCAGCGAAAUGCGAUAAGUAAUGUGAAUUGCAGAAUUCAGUGAAUCAUCGAAUCUUUGAACGCACAUUGCGCCCGCCAGCAUUCUGGCGGGCAUGCCUGUUCGAGCGUCAUUUCAACCCUCAAGCUCUGCUUGGUGUUGGGGCCCUACAGUUGAUGUAGGCCCUCAAAGGUAGUGGCGGACCCUCCCGGAGCCUCCUUUGCGUAGUAACUUUACGUCUCGCACUGGGAUCCGGAGGGACUCUUGCCGUAAAACCCCCCAAUUUUCCAAAGGUUGACCUCGGAUCAGGUAGGAAUACCCGCUGAACUUAAGCAUAUCAAUAAGCGGAGGAA